UCUCAUUUCUUCUCCUCCUCGCGUGCGCCGUUUCUUCUCGGGCGAAACCGAAGAAACCCUAGUUUCUUCUCCGGCGGUCGGCGGAGGGUUGUCUCCAAGAAUCCUUCACAUUCUCGUGAUCUUCUCGACGUGGAGAGCACAUAGACGCGAAGAAGGCGCUGCGAUUUCGAGUCUCGUCGGAACCCUAGAAGCCUCUUCUCUUCUCGGUUGUAAGUCCAAGCAAAUCCCGGUCUAGUGAAAAUACUGAAGAAGUAUGACAAGAGAACAGGAGCACUUAUUAGGCAGCCCUUCAUCGAAAAGGUGCUGCAGCAGCCAUUCUUUACAACUGAUCUCCUAUACAAACUCGUGAAGGAGUGUAUGGCUAUGCUCGACCACCUCUUCCCCAGCAACAACCUGUCAAUUUCAGCAGAAUGCGACGGACAAAAUGGAGUGCCAAAGCCGACACAAUCAGGUGGGAGGGUUCCGAAGUUGGAGGA
This is a long non-coding RNA of Zingiber officinale, 476 nucleotides long. RefSeq lists it as uncharacterized. The record is from RefSeq and is a predicted model, not a curated record. The transcript has 2 exons. NCBI's taxonomy places the organism in Eukaryota, Viridiplantae, Streptophyta, Magnoliopsida, Zingiberales, Zingiberaceae.